RNAcentral lists this ribosomal RNA (219 nucleotides) under uncultured bacterium. Its description in RNAcentral is "partial 16S ribosomal RNA". It matches the Rfam family "Bacterial small subunit ribosomal RNA", at positions 114 to 334 of the family's 1533-position model. The record is from RNAcentral.
UGCAUCGGAACGUGCCCGGUAGUGGGGGAUAACUCGGCGAAAGUCGAGCUAAUACCGCAUACGUACCGAGGUAGAAAGCGGGGGACCUGCAACGGCCUCGCGCUAUCGGAGCGGCCGAUGUCGGAUUAGCUUGUUGGUGGGGUAAUGGCCUACCAAGGCGACGAUCCGUAACUGGUCUGAGAGGACGACCAGUCACACUGGGACUGAGACACGGCCCAG